This 427-nucleotide ribosomal RNA is filed under the name uncultured bacterium. Its description in RNAcentral is "bacterial SSU rRNA". It matches the Rfam family "Bacterial small subunit ribosomal RNA", at positions 355 to 774 of the family's 1533-position model. The record is from RNAcentral.
UGGGGAAUUUUGGCCAAUGGGCGCAAGCCUGAUUCAGCCAUGCCGCGUGCGGGAAGAAGGCCUUCGGGUUGUAAACCGCUUUUGUCAGGGAAGAAAUCCUUUGAGCUAAUACCUCGGGGGGAUGACGGUACCUGAGGAAUAAGCACCGGCUAACUACGUGCCAGCAGCCGCGGUAAUACGUAGGGUGCAAGCGUUAAUCGGAAUUACUGGGCGUAAGGCGUGCGCAGGCGGUUAUAUAAGACAGUUGUGAAAUCCCCGGGCUCAACCUGGGAAUUGCAUCUGUGACUGUAUAGCUAGAGUACGGUAGAGGGGGAUGGAAUGCCGCGUGUAGCAGUGAAAUGCGUAGAUAUGCGGAGGAACACCGAUUGCGAAGGCAGCUCACAAAACUGUAACUGACACUGAGGCUCGAAAGUGCGGGGAUCAAACA